RNAcentral lists this long non-coding RNA (13469 nucleotides) under Medicago truncatula (barrel medic). RNAcentral's name for it is "long non-coding RNA (MTRU_LNC008881)". Lineage: Eukaryota; Viridiplantae; Streptophyta; Magnoliopsida; Fabales; Fabaceae. The record is from RNAcentral.
UACCACGAUCGUUUUUGAAACCAAACGGCAACACUCUUGUAUUGUUUGAGGAAAAUGGCGGUGAUCCGACCCAAAUAUCUUUUGCUACAAAACAGCUGGAAAGUGUGUGUUCACAUGUAUCUGAUUCUCACCCACCUCAAAUAGACUUGUGGAACCAAGAUACAGAAUCAGGGGGAAAAGUAGGGCCUGCUCUGUUGCUCAGUUGUCCUAAUCAUAAUCAGGUAAUUUCAUCCAUCAAAUUUGCAAGCUAUGGAACACCUUUAGGGACGUGUGGAAACUUCUACCGCGGACGCUGCAGCAGCAAUAAGGCGCUGUCAAUUGUAAAGAAGGUGUUUAUCUGAACUCCUGUUCCCUUACUAAUUUGUUAUGUUUCACAUUGGUUUAGAUUGACUAUGUUGGCCAUGGCUAAUAGUUUACUGAUAUGUGAGUAGGUUGCUUGAGCUGAUCAGAAUAAUAGAAAAUCAACUAACCAAUUAAUUGUAUUUAAACACAAGCAGUAAUAUGUAACUCUAAGCUUGAACAAUAGAAAACACUACAACCACUUUGCAGCCGUAGACAGACACAAUUUGCCGAACUCGGUGAUCAAAUCUUGUUUGUUUUUGUUGGUUUUAAAGAGGUUAGCGGCUGAAACACACUAUGCACAGAAAAGUGGAGAAUUGUGGGUUCAACCCGAGCUCUAACAUAUCAAAUGUUCCCACAUCCUUUUACCAUAUGAGUUGUACUUACGGGACAAUCACUUGUGUUCUUUGUUUCCGUUUAUCAUAUCUGUUGUCUUUUGAACCAGAGUUGUUGUAACAUACUAAAAUCAUCUUAUUAACAGGCCUGCAUUGGAUCAAGAAGUUGUAGUGUUGGAGUAUCAACUGAUACAUUUGGAGACCCUUGUAGAGGAGUACCGAAAAGUUUAGCUGUUGAAGCUACUUGUGCAUAGACAAACAUGUAACAUGUUGCUCUAAGAGCAGUCCUCAAUUGUGUUCAACUCUUAUCUUCAAUUCAUCUUCCCUAUCUAAAUUAGAAUUGUAUUCUAGGAACAUCCCAAUUUUUUAUUUUUCACUUAGAAUAGUGCUGUACCACUUGCAAUAAAAGAACAAAAAUGUGGUCCAUAUGGUGAUCUUUGAUACGUGAUAAAACGGUGUUCUUUUGUUGUUCUAGUAGUGAAAAGGAUGGUAAUGGUCCCAUAUAUACUUGUAAUACAAGUUGCACUCAGUGUGAGGAACCUGAACAGUGAAAAGUGGAAAAUUUGGACUUUUGGAGUAUGAACCAAGUUGGAUUAUUAGUUGGAAAAUGAUGUAUUUGAAAUUUUACUUCUUGUAGAGGAAGGUAACGAGAUAGAGGAGAUUCAAUUAAUCAACAUUAGGCAAAAUUUGUGUUGAGUUCUGUUAAUCAUGUUUCUGUAGAUAUCCUAACAUUUGAAUGAAAAUAUAAUACAUGAUUUAUUUGAAAACUUUAUAUUUUUUUAUUUUAAUCACCUGUAUUAUUUUUUUAAAAAAAUGGUGACUUCUUUAAUAAAUAUAAUAAUAAAGAAUAAUCAAUGUUUAUUUUCUUCAAGUAUUUUACAUGCAUAUAUAUAUAAGUUUUAAUAUACUUUUUUUUAACGUAUCAUAUCUUAAAUUUAAAAAAAAAAUUGUGUAUUUGCGUACCCAUAUUGUAUGCCCAAAUGCCCUUAAUUUGGAAAUGCUAGCAAGUGUCAUAAGGGUACUUGUUUAGAAGUUUAAAGUAAAAGUUUUAUCUUAGAAAUUGUGUAUUCAAUACAUUGAAACAACAAAAAGUAAUUUUUUUCAACAAAAAAUUUAUCAGUUAUUUCUAUUUUUGAAUCUUUAACAAGUGUCUUUAAGGCAAUUGUUUGCAUAACCCUAAUAUUAGUUCUAUGAAGCAGAUUUUUUUUUGUUCAUAAUCAAUAUGUAGAAUUUAUUCUUUUUUUAUUUUUAAAUACAAAGAAAAAGUGUUCUCAAUACUUUUUGUCACAUGAGCUGCAGAAAUUUAACGAUCCAAAUUGAGUCAGUUGGUAAAAAGAUGUUUCAUUUAACAAUCCAAAUUGAUUCAGUUGGUAAAAAGAUGUCUCAUAUGCUAGAAGGGUAUGAAUUCAAUUCUCGCAGCUAUAAUGAAAAAUGGAUGGGUAAUUUAUAAAUACCCCUAGUGAACCCGUCAUCUAAGUUAUCUAAACUUUUUUUUAUAUAAAAUAAAGUAAAAAUAUGCAAUGUAUGUAAAUAAUGUGAUAAUAAAAAAGUAUAAUAAACGUGUUUGAGUUGAUUAAACAAUGUUAAGUUUGUCCUUACGAGCUUAGUUUAGUUGGUAUAGACAAUGCAUCAUAAUAUAUGUAAAAUACGAGGUUCAAACCCCGACCAUCAAAAAAAAAAAAAACAAUGCUAAGUUUGUGGAGAAUGAUAUUGCAGUUCAACCCCCACAUGAAUACAUUUUUAAAGUUGUUUUAUGAUGCAACAAGAAUCCAAUUUGAUAUCCCUAAUGAGGUCAAAAAUCCUAUCUAUUUUUUUUUUUUAAAUUAGAGGUGUUUAUUAUAGUUUUAGAAUAAAUUAAUGCACAUAUUUUUUAAAAAAUUUAAUAAUAAUUAGACUUUAUUUUACAAACUAGUUAGAUAUAUUUAUGUACUUAAAUUAUAAUAAUAAGAUGAAAUAAUUUAGAUGACGAGUUGAGUAAGAAUUUUACCUAAUAUUUAUCAAAUGUUACAAGAACUAAAUAAUAACACCUAUUUUUUAUUUAGUUAUAUUUUUUAAGUGUUACUAAAUCUCAUAUAUAUGUUAUAGUGCCUACCACAUAAGGUAUUUUUUUUUUUUGAAGGAUACCACAUAAGGUAUUUAUUCACUGAAUAUACGUUUAUAAUUCGGACAGAGGGCGUAUUACCUUGUUUCUCCUCAUAGAAUGUACAUUAUAUAUACACGUGUUAUAUUACUCAUGUUCUUCUUCUAAGCAUCAUCACUUACAUUUCACAUCCACGUGACCAAAAAAACACAUGUAACAAAUAAACCAAACCAAACCAAAGUCCAAUCUUUCCUUCCCUAGUGAGUUUCUUUUUCUCUUUUUGGAUCAUUCAUUCUUCUAGAAUAAUUACCAUGAGAGCCACUGAAAUUGUGUUGGUUCUGCUUUGGUUCUUACCAACAAUGUUUUGCACCAAUGUGGAUUAUGAUCAUAGAGCAUUGGUCAUUGAUGGUAAACGUAGAGUCUUGAUUUCUGGUUCUAUUCACUACCCUCGUAGUACUCCACAGGUUUUAUUUUAUGUCUCUCUUUGAUUCUGUUUGUGUGUUGAAUUUAAACAGUGCUGAAUUUGUUGUUGUUUAUAGAUGUGGCCAGACCUUAUUCAGAAAUCUAAAGAUGGAGGACUUGAUGUUAUUGAAACCUAUGUUUUCUGGAACUUACAUGAACCUGUUAAAGGCCAGGUUCUCUUUGCUUCAUUUCUUCUCUUACAUUCUUACCAUUUUCUUUGAGCAUUGCAUUUGUUCAUUGCUUGCAGGAAAAGAAAACAAGUGUCUAUGUUAAGCUGAAUUGCUAAUUGUUGAAAGCAUGACUGAACAAGUUUGGAUUGACUUAUUUGAGUUUAUCUACUGACAUAAUCUCUCCAAGAUAGAUAAUGAAACAUAUUAACUAUAUGAAAACAAUAUGACUCUAAAAUCUUUUGUAAAUAGAAUAAGCACUUAUAUGUUAUAAGCACUUAAUUAAGUAUUUUAUCCAAAUAUGAUCUUGAUCUACUAUAAGCUAAGAAAGUCUAUCUUAAUUCAUUGAAAUGAAAUGGAUUUUUGCAGUAUGAUUUUGAUGGGAGGAAGGAUUUGGUGAAAUUUGUGAAAGCAGUAGCUGAGGCAGGUCUAUAUGUGCAUCUCCGGAUUGGUCCAUAUGUUUGUUCUGAAUGGAACUAUGGGUAAAGUUUGGUAAUUUAUGUGUAUUAUAUUUCGAGGGUGUUCAUGUCUAAUUGAGGGCUUUAACUUCUUGACAGUGGUUUCCCUCUUUGGCUUCACUUCAUUCCAGGGAUUAAGUUCCGAACUGACAAUGAACCAUUUAAGGUAAGUUAACCUUCAGUCCAGUGCUUCAUGCUUUUGUCCUUGGACUGAGUUCACUUGACAGGAAACUUUGUCUUCAGGUUGAAAUGAAGCGAUUCACCACUAAGAUUGUCGACCUCAUGAAGCAAGAGAAACUGUAUGCAUCACAAGGAGGACCUAUAAUUUUAUCUCAGGUUUUUUUAUCAUGAAAUACAAUACAAGUAUAGUUAAUAUAUUCUUGAAGAUAUUAAGGUCAAAGUUUAUAUUUGUUAAUGUGAGAGUGUUUGUGAUUUCUAAUGACAGAUAGAAAAUGAGUAUGGAGACAUCGAUUCAGCCUAUGGUUCUGCUGGUAAAUCAUACAUCAAUUGGGCAGCAAAAAUGGCUACAUCUCUUGAUACAGGUGUACCUUGGGUCAUGUGUCAGCAAGCAGAUGCUCCUGAUCCAAUUGUAAGUUUUAUGUUUUGAUAUGUCAAUGUUAAUUGUUUUUUAGUUUAUGGUUUACUAGGUUGCCUGUCUUCCGGAAAAGAGCAAUCUUGGUAUGCCGUUUGCAUUCAUCUUACUCAAUUUUUACUUGAACUGCAAGUAGAUUAAUACCUGCAAUGGAUUUUACUGCGAUCAAUUCACACCAAACUCUAAAACAAAGCCAAAAUUGUGGACUGAAAAUUGGAGUGCAUGGUUAGCAACUUAGCAUCCUUUUUUAUAUAAAUAAUUUAAUCAAUUUGUUUAUGUUAUUUUCCAAAUCUUACUUGAAUUCUUUGGAAUGGUAGGUAUCUUUUAUUUGGUGGUGGGUUUCCUCACAGACCUGUGGAAGAUCUCGCAUUUGCUGUCGCACGCUUUUUCCAACGAGGUGGAACAUUUCAAAAUUACUAUAUGGUAUUGCAACCUGAAAUGUUCUUCACAAGUUCAGAAUAAUAUGAUAAUAUUACUUCACUGAAAAAUUGGCUCUAAGAGGAAUUAGCUGAUACUGUAUCAUUUUUCAUUGCUUGACUAAAAACAGUACCAUGGAGGAACCAACUUUGACCGAAGUACUGGAGGACCAUUCAUUGCAACAAGUUAUGAUUUUGAUGCACCGAUUGAUGAGUAUGGUAUGACUCCUUCAACCUUCUUAUUGAAAUCUAUUGUUCAUGUUGUAGCCGUCACAAAUACAACACUGGUAAUACAUCGAAGAAGAUAAAUUGAUAAUAUCACAUGGAUAGUUUAUUUCUUAUAUGUAGAAGAGAAAUUACACUGGACGAUUGGAUUUUUUAAUAUCUUCGCUACAUGCUGCAGGAGUUAUUAGGCAGCCGAAGUGGGGUCAUCUUAAAGAUGUGCACAAGGCCAUAAAGCUUUGUGAAGAAGCAUUAAUAGCCGCAGAACCCAAGAUUACUUAUCUUGGUCCAAACCUAGAGGUAUAGAUGGUUUAUAUUGAAAUUUUUGUUCGUUUGAAACAUCUUAUUCCGCGUCUUAGGAUAUAAUUUAUUUUGUAACUAAAACUCAUCUGGUUUGUCAAUAGUGUAAGAUUCUUUCUUUGAAAAAUUCCCGGCAUUAAUAGUCUUUUACUAAUAAAACCGCAGGCGGCCGUUUAUAAGACAGGAUCUGUAUGUGCUGCCUUUCUCGCCAAUGUGGACGCCAAAUCUGAUAAAACCGUAAAUUUCAGUGGCAAUUCAUAUCACUUGCCUGCAUGGUCUGUGAGCAUCUUGCCAGAUUGCAAGAAUGUAGUGCUUAAUACUGCAAAGGUUUGUCUUACCUUCAUUUGUGUUAAGUUGCUUCAAUAACACAAUUAUCUCAAUCAAAAUAGAUAGUUUAAUUGAAUAGAGUUACUAAAAAAGUGUGAUUCAUAUUCAUUUUGUGAAUAUUCUAUCUAUACCAAGGUGUUUUCUCUUAUUUGUUAGUCCAAAGUAAGUAGGAUGUAAUAAAAGUAAAUUUUUUUAUGCCAGAUUAAUUCUGCAUCUACAAUUUCAAACUUCGUAACUGAAUCUUUAAAAGAAGAUAUCAGUUCUUCAGAAACUUCUAGAUCAAAAUGGAGUUGGAUAAACGAACCUGUGGGUAUUUCGAAGGAUGAUAUAUUGUCAAAGACUGGAUUACUUGAGCAAAUAAAUAUCACAGCUGAUAGAAGUGACUACUUGUGGUACUCAUUAAGGUAUACAAGCCUCCAAAUUUGAAAGAUAUUUUCCCUGACUGAUGAUUCUGUACUUCUCGAUAACACUUCUAUUGUAUUCUUUUGAAGCGUUGAUCUUAAGGAUGAUCCUGGUUCUCAAACUGUCCUUCACAUUGAAUCGCUCGGCCAUGCCCUUCAUGCUUUCAUAAACGGCAAGCUUGCAGGUAAUUAUUCACAAGGAUAUGGUUUUUAUAUUUUGAAAGUGUUGGAAUUAAUUGAAUUGACUAGUUUUAGUGAUUUGCUGUAAUUUGGAAUUCAAAUUAUAGUUGACUCAUAUCCUUGUAUAUCUUUCCAUUUAUUUCUUGUAGUUAUGUUUUCAUUUUUUUAUCUCCUAUAAUCAUGGAGGAAACCUUGUAUAUAUUCCCUACUUUCAUAUCAAUGAAAUACACCAUUAUACCAUUUUCUUUUACAUGGUAUCAGAGCCGACUCCAAUUACCUCUCAUUUCUAGGUAUUGGAGAUUAGCUUCUGAGUAAGAAAAUGGCGAAUGGGUCAGAUAAAUCAGAUUCUGGUGAUAAAUCAGAUUCUGCUCAAAAAUCAAAUUCUGCUCCACAUACACAUGAUAUGUAUUCAUCCCUCACACCUGAACGUCUUGAUGGCACAAACUAUACCGAAUGGGCCCUAAAUGCAGAAAACAAGAUCAGAGGUCGUAAACAUUGGGGUUACAUCUCUGGAAAGAAGGUCACACCUGCAACAAAAACCUCUGAUGAAUAUGAAACUUGGGAAGAUGAGAAUUGUUUGGUCAAGUCUUGGCUUCUGGAUGCAAUGACAAAAGAUGUUAGGUCGCUUUUCAUCCGGUUACCUACAGCCAAGAAGAUCUGGGAAUCGGUCAAGGAGACUUACUCUGUCAGUCAAGAUGCAUCAAAGGCAUAUCAGCUUUAUUGUGAGGUAAUAUCUAUUAAACAAGAUGGUGGAUCCGUUGUUACUUACUUUGCAAAAUUACAGAAACUGUGGCAGGAAAUUGAUGCGAUUGAAGAUUGUACCAUGGUGUGCACUAAAGAUGUUGAGACAUAUACCAACAAACUGAAUGCGCAACGUGUAUACAUAUUCCUAGCAGGACUUGAUUCACACUUGGAUGGGGUACGUGGUCGAAUUCUUGCAACCAUACCACUUCCAGGUAUACAAACUGUGUAUGCAAAUGUCUGUGUUGAGGCGAAUCGCCAAGAAGCCAUGCUUUGUACAACACAAAGUGAAGGUGCUGCAAUGGCUAUGAAAAAGCCAUUUAAUUCCAAUAAAGGAAACCGCAAAUGUACACACUGUAAUGGAAACAACCAUACCGCAGAUACUUGUUUUAAGAUACACGGUUAUCCUCAAUGGCACCCAAAAGGGAAAAAGGAGGAUGCUCUCAAUAACAAUACUACCGGUGCUUCUGGAUUUGUUGCUAAGUCAGGUACAUCUCAAUCUGUUUGUUGUUUUUCUGUUGUUACUUGUGAUAAUGAAUGGAUAAUUGAUACUGGUGCAACUCAUCAUAUGACUUGUAAUAAAUAUAUGUUUACACAUUUAUCCUCUAAUAGUCCUGUUCGAGUCAUUAUAAAUGCUAAUGGUGUUUCUUCCCAUGUUAUGGGUAUUGGUACAGUGUCAAUUUCACCAUCAUUAUCCCUUUAUGAUGUUCUCUUUGUUCCCUCUCUCAAUUGCAAUCUUCUCUCUGUUAACCAACUAACCGAGUCCCUUAAUUGUGCCGUCGUGUUCUUUUCCACACAUUGUAUUUUGCAGAAUGUUCAUACAAAGGAGAAGAUUGGCAGUGGUAAAAAAAGAGAAGGAUUAUACUAUCUUGAAGGUAACUCUCAACAUCCCAAAGGAAAAGCACUAGUUCACUCUAUGAGUGAUGGAUUACAAGCUAGAAAUAUAGAAGAUAUUUGGCAAUGGCAUAAGCGAUUAGGACACCCAUCAUUUAGCUAUCUCAAGAGAUUGUUUCCUUCAUUGUUUAGUCGUUGUGAUAUCUCUGAUUUUAAAUGUGAAACUUGUGUAAUGGCAAAAAGCCAUCGUGUUUCUUUUCCUAUAAAUAAUAGUAGAGCUGAUGCUCCUUUUUCAAUUAUUCACUCAGAUGUUUGGGGACCAUCUCCAUUUCCCACAAAUAAUGGAAUGAGGUGGUUUGUGACCUUUGUGGAUGAUUGUACAAGAAUGACCUGGUUAUAUUUUCUUAAACACAAAAGUGAUUUGUUUAGUGUCUUUCAAGUUUUUCACAAAAUGAUAACAACACAAUUUAAUACUCCAAUCAAGAUAGUUAGGUCUGAUAAUGGAGGAGAAUAUCAUAAUAAUAAAUUGACAACUUUUAUGAAAUCAGUUGGUAUUCUCCAUCAAACAUCAUGUCCUAAUACCCCUCAGCAGAAUGGAGUAGCUGAAAGAAAAAAUAGACACCUUUUGGAGAUUACUAGGUCACUCUUGAUUGGGAGUAAUGUUCCUUCUUAUUUAUGGGGUGAAGCUUUAAGCUCUGCAGUUUAUCUUAUUAAUAGAGUCCCCUCAAGUGUGCUAAAUUUUAGAAGACCUAUUGAUGUUCUUUCUAAUCAUUGCACACUUAACUCUAUCAAUAAUUUACCACCCCAUAUUUUUGGUUGUGUCAUAUAUGUACAUUUACAUCCUCACCAAAGAACAAAAUUAGAAUCUAGAGCAAUGAAAUGUGUUUUUGUGGGAUACAGCACCACUCAAAAGGGAUAUAAAGCUUAUCAUCCAUCUUCAAAAAAAUAUUUUGUUUCAAUGGAUGUUACCUUUCAUGAACAUGAAUUGUUUUUUCUUUCUAAAACACUCCAUUCUUCACCUCAGAGGGGAAGUGAUGUAGAGGUGCAGAAUCAUGAAAUACGCAUCCAUGAAAUCAUGUUAUUUGAUACUAUGCCAAUAGAAAAUCAAAAUGAAAUUCAAGAUAUUGAAGAUGAGAAUCAAGAUAUUGGAAAUGAGAAUAUGACCGAAGAUGAUAGUAUAAUUUCCUCUUCAACUUCAAGCCCACUGCUGAUCCAAUCCUCAGAAAAUUCUGCAGAGGUACCAUCUGAAACUAUUGCUUCUAUUCAUUCUAUUGCUGAUAUAGAAAAUUAUGUUUCCGCUGAUAUAGAAAAUAAUGACUCUUCUUCUAGUCCAUUAAAUUUUGACCAUGUUGUUAGCACUUACACUCUUCCCCCUCGUACUAACAGAGGACAACCUCCAAUAAGGUAUGAACCUGACCCUAAUUGUAAGCUAAAGUACCCUAUAAAUAACUAUGUGUCAUUCCAAAAGUUGUCCAAGUCAUAUGCUAAUUAUGCAUCUCAAUUAUCCAUUGCAUCUACACCUAGUAACUUGCAGGAAGCUCUAGCAGAUUUGAGAUGGACACAGGCAAUGACAGCAGAAAUGGAAGCAUUGGAGAAAAAUGCUACUUGGGAACUUGUCUCCUUACCGGUCGGAAAGAGCACUGUAGGUUGUAGAUGGGUGUUUACUAUCAAACAUAAGGCCGAUGGAAGUGUUGAGAGGUUUAAAGCGAGGUUAGUUGCAAAAGGUUACACUCAAUCCUAUGGAGUUGAUUAUGAAGAAACUUUUGCACCAGUUGCAAAACUCAACACAGUGAGGGUAUUACUAUCAUUAGCAGCAAAUCAAGAUUGGCCGCUACUUCAAUUUGAUGUAAAAAAUGCCUUUUUACAUGGAGAUUUAAUAGAAGAAGUGUAUAUGGAUCCUCCCCCUGGCAUACCAAGGUACUCAAAUAUUUCUAUGGUGUGCAAGCUUAAAAAGGCCCUAUAUGGAUUAAAACAGUCACCAAGAGCUUGGUUUGGAAGGUUUACUAAGUCUAUGAAGUUUUUUGGUUACACACAAAGUAAUUCUGAUCACACCUUGUUUCUUAAACAUAAUCAUGGUAAGAUCACCGCAUUGAUAAUAUAUGUUGAUGAUAUGAUUGUGACUGGAAAUGAUCCUAAUGAAAUUUCGAGCUUGCAGCGAUAUUUAGCUUCUAAUUUUGACAUGAAACAACUUGGAGAUCUAAAGUAUUUUUUGGGGAUCGAAGUUGCAAGGUCCAAGCAUGGUAUCUUUCUUUCUCAAAGAAAGUAUGUGUUAGAUUUGUUAACUGAGACAGGAAUGCUUGGAUGCAAACCAAUUGAAACUCCCAUAGAACAAAAUCACAAAAACUUUUGUUGUGCUGAUGCGCCUAGUACGGAUCGUCAAAGAUAUCAAAGAUUAGUUGGGAAGUUAAUUUAUUUGUCUCAUACUAGGCCAGACAUAGCGUAUGCAGUUAAUGUUGUGAGCCAAUUUAUGCAUGACCCAAGAAAACCGCAUAUGGAUGCGGUUGAACGAAUACUGAGGUACUUAAAAUCUGCUCCAGGAAAAGGUUUGUUAUUCUCAAACCAUGGUCACCUCAAAGUCGAAGGUUAUACCGAUGCUGAUUGGGCCGGAUCUGCGGAUGACAGAAAGUCUACUGCAGGCUACUUAACUUUUGUGGGAGGAAAUUUAGUAACUUGGAGGAGUAAAAAACAACAAGUAGUUGCUAGAUCAAGUGCCGAAGCAGAAUUCAGGGGGAUGGCAGUAGGAAUAUGUGAACUGCUAUGGAUUAAAAACCUUUUAAAGGAUCUUGGAUGUGAACAAGAGGAUGCAAUGAAGCUUUACUGUGACAAUAAAUCUGCCAUAGAGAUUGCUCAUAACCCUGUCCAACAUGAUCGCACAAAACACGUGGAAAUUGAUAGGCAUUUCAUCAAAGAAAAGAUUGAAGCUGGUAUUAUUGCAUUUCCGUUUGUAAAAUCAGAACAACAACUUGCUGAUAUGCUUACUAAGGCAGUAACCUCCAGGACUCUUGCUGGUUCUCUUGACAAGUUGGGUAUGUGUGAUAUUCAUGCACCAACUUGAGAGGGGAUGUUGGAAUUAAUUGAAUUGACUAGUUUUAGUGAUUUGCUGUAAUUUGGAAUUCAAAUUAUAGUUGACUCAUAUCCUUGUAUAUCUUUCCAUUUAUUUCUUGUAGUUAUGUUUUCAUUUUUUUAUCUCCUAUAAUCAUGGAGGAAACCUUGUAUAUAUUCCCUACUUUCAUAUCAAUGAAAUACACCAUUAUACCAUUUUCUUUUACAGAAAGUCUCAAAGAGCCUGUGUUAUUGAAACUCAAAUGAAGUCGAGGUUGAUUUUAAAACAAGUUAAAACAUGAGUUGAUCAUUGAUUUUUUUUUUUAUUUUUUUUAGGGAGAGUUGAUGAUGGAUGUUCCUUCUAAAAAUGUUCAUAAUUUAUUUUUUCAAUUAAGUUCUUGAAUUAUUAAAUAAUAACUUUCUAUGAUAUUAUUGAUGAAUUCUUAGGGAGUCAAACCGGGAACAAAGAAAAACCUAAGCUUAAUGAGGACAUCCCGAUCACAGUUCUUUCUGGAAAGAAUAAAAUUGAUCUGCUGAGUUUAACAGUUGGACUUCAGGUUCAGCUUUUCUUGUUUUUAGUUUCCAAUUAUGCAUAGAAUUGCUUGCUCCCCCAAUGAUUUCUCUCAUUACUAUAUCUAACAUGAACCAUAUACACAUCAGAACUAUGGAGCUUUUUUUGACACAUGGGGAGCGGGGAUCACCGGUCCAGUGAUAUUGAAAGGUUUGAAGAAUGGCAACAAGACUCUUGAUCUCUCCUCUCGGAAGUGGACAUAUCAGGUCAGUCUUCACUUUUGAUCGAAGACUAUUUGUUAGUCUUACAUAGUUAAUGGAGUUAAUUCUUUUGAUACAGGUUGGCCUAAAAGGUGAAGAUUUAGGUCUCUCUAGUGGAAGUUCCGGAGCGUGGAAUUCAAAGACUACUUUCCCUAAGAAACAACCAUUGAUUUGGUACAAGGUAAUUUAAUUUUCAAUUUAUUGUUUCCCUUGAUAUAAGUUAUGGAAUUUCAAAUUAAAAGAACGCCACUAUAUGAAAAAUGUUUUUUGCUACUAACCAAUGUCAUGCAUGUUGCAUUAGACAAACUUUGAUGCUCCAUCCGGCAGUAAUCCAGUUGUGAUUGACUUCACAGGGAUGGGAAAAGGCGAGGCUUGGGUAAAUGGACAAAGCAUUGGGCGAUACUGGCCUACAUAUGUUGCUUCAAAUGUCGAUUGCACAGACUCAUGCAACUACAGAGGACCUUUUACUCAAACCAAAUGUCACAUGAAUUGUGGAAAACCAUCACAGACAUUGUAAGUGUUGCAAAUUUUCAAUGAAGAAGAGUUUAAACAUGAGAAAAAAAAUCUUGAUCUAUGAUGUGAUUGAGACAUUAAUCUCAUCUCACAGAUACCACGUGCCACAGUCGUUUUUGAAACCAAAUGGAAACACUCUUGUAUUGUUUGAGGAAAGUGGUGGUGAUCCAACACAAAUAUCUUUUGCUACAAAACAGAUAGGAAGUGUGUGUGCCCAUGUAUCUGAUUCUCACCCACCUCAAAUAGACUUGUGGAACCAAGAUACAGAAUCAGGGGGAAAAGUAGGGCCUGCACUGUUGCUCAACUGUCCUAAUCAUAAUCAGGUAAUAUCUUCCAUCAAAUUUGCAAGCUAUGGAACACCACUAGGGACGUGUGGAAACUUCUACCGCGGACGCUGCAGCAGCAAUAAGACACUGUCAAUUGUAAAGAAGGUGUUUAUCUGGAUUCAUGUUCCCUUUCUAAUUUGUUAUGGUUCACUUUAUGUUGAGUAUGACUCUUAGUUUAAUUAUAUGUGAGUAGGUUGCUUGAGUUGGUGAGAAUAAUAGAAAAUAAACUAAUCAACUCAUAGUAUUUAAACACAGGUAGUAAUAUGUAACCUCUUUGCUGCCGUAGAUGUAUACACAAUUGGCCGAACUCCGCGAUCAAAUCUUGUUUUUUUGUUGUUGCUGUUGGUUUUAAGCUGGUUAGCGGCGAAACUCACACACACAUUAUGUACUGAGAAGUGGAGAAUUGUGGGUUCAAACCUGCGUUCCAACAUAUCAAAUGUCCCUGCAAAAUUUUACCAUCUGAGUUGUACUUACGGGACAAUCUCAGUGUUAUUUGUUUGUGUUUUCUUUUGAACCUGAUUGUUGUAACAUACUAAAAUCAUCUUAUUAACAGGCCUGCAUUGGAUCAAGAAGUUGUAGUAUUGGAGUAUCAACCGAUACAUUUGGAGACCCUUGUAAAGGAGUGCCAAAGAGUUUAGCCGUUGAAGCUACUUGUGCAUAGACAAACAUGUAACAUGUUGCUCCAAGAGCAGUCAUCAAUUGUCUUCAACUCUUAUCUUAAAUUCUUCUUCCCUUUCCAAAUUAGAAUUGUAUUCUAGGAACAUCCCAAUUUAUUUUUCUUCAAUUAGAAUAGUUUAGUACCACUUGCAAUAAAAGAAACAAAAAUGUGGUCCUUAUGAUGUUUGAUACGUGAUAAAAUGGUCCCAUAUACUUGUAAUACAAGUUGCCCUCAGGGGGAGGGACCUGAACAGUGAAAAGUGGAAAAUUUGGACUUUUGGAGUAUGAACCAAGUUGGAUUAUUAG